This 1112-nucleotide ribosomal RNA is filed under the name Salmonella enterica. RNAcentral's name for it is "bacterial SSU rRNA". It matches the Rfam family "Bacterial small subunit ribosomal RNA", at positions 1 to 1102 of the family's 1533-position model. RNAcentral also lists the same sequence under 2 other names. The record is from RNAcentral. Lineage: Bacteria; Pseudomonadati; Pseudomonadota; Gammaproteobacteria; Enterobacterales; Enterobacteriaceae.
AAAUUGAAGAGUUUGAUCAUGGCUCAGAUUGAACGCUGGCGGCAGGCCUAACACAUGCAAGUCGAACGGUAACAGAAAGCAGCUUGCUGCUUUGCUGACGAGUGGCGGACGGGUGAGUAAUGUCUGGGAAACUGCCUGAUGGAGGGGGAUAACUACUGGAAACGGUGGCUAAUACCGCAUAACGUCGCAAGACCAAAGAGGGGGACCUUCGGGCCUCUUGCCAUCAGAUGUGCCCAGAUGGGAUUAGCUAGUUGGUGAGGUAACGGCUCACCAAGGCGACGAUCCCUAGCUGGUCUGAGAGGAUGACCAGCCACACUGGAACUGAGACACGGUCCAGACUCCUACGGGAGGCAGCAGUGGGGAAUAUUGCACAAUGGGCGCAAGCCUGAUGCAGCCAUGCCGCGUGUAUGAAGAAGGCCUUCGGGUUGUAAAGUACUUUCAGCGGGGAGGAAGGUGUUGUGGUUAAUAACCGCAGCAAUUGACGUUACCCGCAGAAGAAGCACCGGCUAACUCCGUGCCAGCAGCCGCGGUAAUACGGAGGGUGCAAGCGUUAAUCGGAAUUACUGGGCGUAAAGCGCACGCAGGCGGUCUGUCAAGUCGGAUGUGAAAUCCCCGGGCUCAACCUGGGAACUGCAUUCGAAACUGGCAGGCUUGAGUCUUGUAGAGGGGGGUAGAAUUCCAGGUGUAGCGGUGAAAUGCGUAGAGAUCUGGAGGAAUACCGGUGGCGAAGGCGGCCCCCUGGACAAAGACUGACGCUCAGGUGCGAAAGCGUGGGGAGCAAACAGGAUUAGAUACCCUGGUAGUCCACGCCGUAAACGAUGUCUACUUGGAGGCUGUGCCCUUGAGGCGUGGCUUCCGGAGCUAACGCGUUAAGUAGACCGCCUGGGGAGUACGGCCGCAAGGUUAAAACUCAAAUGAAUUGACGGGGGCCCGCACAAGCGGUGGAGCAUGUGGUUUAAUUCGAUGCAACGCGAAGAACCUUACCUGGUCUUGACAUCCACAGAAGUUUGCAGAGAUGCGAAUGUGCCUUCGGGAACUGUGAGACAGGUGCUGCAUGGCUGUCGUCAGCUCGUGUUGUGAAAUGUUGGGUUAAGUCCCGCAACGAGCGCAAC